RNAcentral lists this ribosomal RNA (784 nucleotides) under uncultured Glomus. Its description in RNAcentral is "SSU rRNA". It matches the Rfam family "Eukaryotic small subunit ribosomal RNA", at positions 325 to 1111 of the family's 1831-position model. The record is from RNAcentral. Lineage: Eukaryota; Fungi; Glomeromycota; Glomeromycetes; Glomerales; Glomeraceae.
AUGGUAGGAUAGAGGCCUACCAUGGUGGUAACGGGUAACGGGGUGUUAGGGCACGACACCGGAGAGGGAGCCUGAGAAACGGCUACCACAUCCAAGGAAGGCAGCAGGCGCGCAAAUUACCCAAUCCCGACACGGGGAGGUAGUGACAAUAAAUAACAAUACAGGGCUCUUUUGGGUCUUGUAAUUGGAAUGAGUACAAUUUAAAUCUCUUAACGAGGAACAAUUGGAGGGCAAGUCUGGUGCCAGCAGCCGCGGUAAUUCCAGCUCCAAUAGCGUAUAUUAAAGUUGUUGCAGUUAAAAAGCUCGUAGUUGAAUUUCGGAAUCAAUAUGUCGGUCGUGCUUCGGUACGUACUGGUAUCAUUGGUUUCUCCUUUCUGACGAACCAUGAUGUCAUUAAUUUGGUGUUAUGGGGAGUUAGGACUGUUACUUUGAAAAAAUUAGAGUGUUUAAAGCAGGCUUUAGCUUGAAUACAUUAGCAUGGAAUAAUGAAAUAGUACGUUCGAACCUAUUUUGUUGGUUUCUAGGAUCAACGUAAUGAUUAAUAGGGAUAGUUGGGGGCAUUAGUAUUCAAUUGUCAGAGGUGAAAUUCUUGGAUUUAUUGAAGACUAACUACUGCGAAAGCAUUUGCCAAGGAUGUUUUCAUUAAUCAAGAACGAAAGUUAGGGGAUCGAAGACGAUCAGAUACCGUCGUAGUCUUAACCAUAAACUAUGCCGACUAGGGAUCGGAUGAUGUUAAUUUUUUAAUGACUCAUUCGGCGCCUUACGGGAAACCAAAGUGUUUGGG